GAUGAACGCUGGCGGCGUGCCUAAUACAUGCAAGUCGAGCGAACAGACGAGGAGCUUGCUCCUCUGACGUUAGCGGCGGACGGGUGAGUAACACGUGGAUAACCUACCUAUAAGACUGGGAUAACUUCGGGAAACCGGAGCUAAUACCGGAUAAUAUAUUGAACCGCAUGGUUCAAUAGUGAAAGACGGUUUUGCUGUCACUUAUAGAUGGAUCCGCGCCGCAUUAGCUAGUUGGUAAGGUAACGGCUUACCAAGGCAACGAUGCGUAGCCGACCUGAGAGGGUGAUCGGCCACACUGGAACUGAGACAAGGUACAGACUCCUAAGGGAGGCAGCAGUAGGGAAUCUUCCGAAAUGGGCGAAAGCCUGACGGAGCAACGCCGCGUGAGUGAUGAAGGUCUUCGGAUCGUAAAACUCUGUUAUUAGGGAAGAACAAAUGUGUAAGUAACUAUGCACGUCUUGACGGUACCUAAUCAGAAAGCCACGGCUAACUACGUG
RNAcentral lists this ribosomal RNA (497 nucleotides) under uncultured bacterium. RNAcentral describes it as "partial 16S ribosomal RNA". It matches the Rfam family "Bacterial small subunit ribosomal RNA", at positions 28 to 507 of the family's 1533-position model. The record is from RNAcentral.